RNAcentral lists this ribosomal RNA (544 nucleotides) under uncultured bacterium. Its description in RNAcentral is "bacterial SSU rRNA". It matches the Rfam family "Bacterial small subunit ribosomal RNA", at positions 777 to 1334 of the family's 1533-position model. The record is from RNAcentral.
AAUAGAUACCCCGGUAGUCCACGCCGUAAACGAUGGAUGCUAGCUGUUAUGAGUAUCGACCCUUGUAGUAGCGAAGCUAACGCGUUAAGCAUCCCGCCUGUGGAGUACGAGCGCAAGCUUAAAACAUAAAGGAAUUGACGGGGACCCGCACAAGCGGUGGAGCGUGUUGUUUAAUUCGAUGAUAAGCGAAGAACCUUACCAAGGCUUGACAUCCCUGGAAUUUCUCCGAAAGGAGAGAGUGCCUUCGGGAAUCAGGUGACAGGUGAUGCAUGGCCGUCGUCAGCUCGUGUCGUGAGAUGUUUGGUUAAGUCCAUCAACGAGCGCAACCCUUGUAAAUAGUUGAAUUUUUCUAUUUAGACUGCCUCGGUAACGGGGAGGAAGGAGGGGAUGAUGUCAGGUCAGUAUUUCCCUUACGCCUUGGGCUACAAACACGCUACAAUGGCCGGUACAAAGGGCAGCCAACCCGCGAGGGGGAGCAAAUCCCAUCAAAACCGGUCUCAGUUCGGAUAGCAGGCUGAAAUUCGCCUGCUUGAAGCCGGAAUCG